UACAGAGGUCUCAAGCGUUGUUCGGAUUCAUUGGGCGUAAAGGGUGCGUAGGCGGCGCGGUAAGUCGGGUGUGAAAUCUCGGAGCUUAACUCCGAAACUGCACUCGAUACUGCCGUGCUUGAGGACUGGAGAGGAGACUGGAAUUUACGGUGUAGCGGUGAAAUGCGUAGAUAUCGUAAGGAAGACCAGUGGCGAAGGCGGCAUCCUGGACCGGUAUUGACGCUGAGGCGCGAAAGCUAGGGGAGCAAACGGG
Molecule: ribosomal RNA, 253 nt
Filed under: uncultured bacterium
Lineage: Bacteria
Description: partial 16S ribosomal RNA
Rfam family: Bacterial small subunit ribosomal RNA
Source: RNAcentral